This 546-nucleotide ribosomal RNA is filed under the name uncultured bacterium. RNAcentral's name for it is "partial 16S ribosomal RNA". It matches the Rfam family "Bacterial small subunit ribosomal RNA", at positions 355 to 889 of the family's 1533-position model. The record is from RNAcentral.
UGGGGAAUUUUGGACAAUGGGCGAAAGCCUGAUCCAGCAAUGCCGCGUGUGUGAAGAAGGCCUUCGGGUUGUAAAGCACUUUUGUCCGGAAAGAAAUCCUUGGCUCUAAUACAGUCGGGGGAUGACGGUACCGGAAGAAUAAGCACCGGCUAACUACGUGCCAGCAGCCGCGGUAAUACGUAGGGUGCAAGCGUUAAUCGGAAUUACUGGGCGUAAAGCGUGCGCAGGCGGUUUGCUAAGACCGAUGUGAAAUCCCCGGGCUCAACCUGGGAACUGCAUUGGUGACUGGCAGGCUAGAGUAUGGCAGAGGGGGGUAGAAUUCCACGUGUAGCAGUGAAAUGCGUAGAGAUGUGGAGGAAUACCGAUGGCGAAGGCAGCCCCCUGGGCCAAAUACUGACGCUCAUGCACGAAAAGCGUGGGGGAGCAAAACAGGAUUAGAUACCCUGGUAGUCCACGCCCUAAAACGAUGUCAACUAGUUGUUGGGGAUUCAUUUCCUUAGUAACGUAGCUAACGCGUGAAGUUGACCGCCUGGGGAGUACGGUCGC